AACGAACGCUGGCGGCAGGCUUAACACAUGCAAGUCAAACGGUUGUAGCAAUACAGCAGUGGCAGACGGGUGAGUAACACGUGGGAACCUUCCUAGGGGUACGGAACAACUCAGGGAAACUUGAGCUAAUACCGUAUACGUCCGUGAGGAGAAAGAUUUAUCGCCCUUAGACGGGCCCGCGUCGGAUUAGCUAGUUGGUGGGGUAACGGCCUACCAAGGCGACGAUCCGUAGCUGAUCUUAGAGGAUGAUCAGCCACACUGGGACUGAGACACGGCCCAGACUCCUACGGGAGGCAGCAGUGGGGAAUCUUGGACAAUGGGCGCAAGCCUGAUCCAGCCAUGCCGCGUGAGUGAAGAAGGUCUUCGGAUUGUAAAGCUCUUUUGCCAGGGACGAUAAUGACGGUACCUGGAGAAUAAGCCCCGGCAAACUUCGUGCCAGCAGCCGCGGUAAU
Molecule: ribosomal RNA, 452 nt
Filed under: uncultured bacterium
Lineage: Bacteria
Description: bacterial SSU rRNA
Rfam family: Bacterial small subunit ribosomal RNA
Source: RNAcentral